GAUGAACGCUGGCGGCGUGCCUAAUACAUGCAAGUCGAGCGAACAGACGAGGAGCUUGCUCCUCUGACGUUAGCGGCGGACGGGUGAGUAACACGUGGAUAACCUACCUAUAAGACUGGGAUAACUUCGGGAAACCGGAGCUAAUACCGGAUAAUAUAUUGAACCGCAUGGUUCAAUAGUGAAAGACGGUUUUGCUGUCACUUAUAGAUGGAUCCGCGCCGCAUUAGCUAGUUGGUAAGGUAACGGCUUACCAAGGCGACGAUGCGUAGCCGACCUGAGAGGGUGAUAGGCCACACUGGAACUGAGACACGGUCCAGACCCCUACGGGAGGCAGCAGUAGGGAAUCUUCCGCAAUGGGCGAAAGCCUGACGGAGCAACGCCGCGUGAGUGAUGAAGGUCUUCGGAUCGUAAAACUCUGUUAUUAGGGAAGAACAAAUGUGUAAGUAACUAUGCACGUCUUGACGGUACCUAAUCAGAAAGCCACGGCUAACUACGUG
This 497-nucleotide ribosomal RNA is filed under the name uncultured bacterium. RNAcentral describes it as "partial 16S ribosomal RNA". It matches the Rfam family "Bacterial small subunit ribosomal RNA", at positions 28 to 507 of the family's 1533-position model. The record is from RNAcentral.